AAAAAACAAAAAACAAAAGGCUUAGAAUAGAACCUAAAAGAAAACUAAAGCUGGGAAAUGAAAUCAGAGGAAUCUACAAUUAUUUCUUAUAACCUAUACCUAUCAAAACAGAAACAUAAGAAAGCAUCAGAAACUAAAAACUAUUUAAGAUGAAAAGAACCUGAAAGGGAUGCUAACUAAGGACUAAAAUAGAACCUAAUAUAUGAG
This 207-nucleotide long non-coding RNA is filed under the name Vigna radiata. Its description in RNAcentral is "long non-coding RNA (VRAD_LNC012709)". The record is from RNAcentral. Lineage: Eukaryota; Viridiplantae; Streptophyta; Magnoliopsida; Fabales; Fabaceae.